This 537-nucleotide ribosomal RNA is filed under the name uncultured archaeon. Its description in RNAcentral is "bacterial SSU rRNA". It matches the Rfam family "Archaeal small subunit ribosomal RNA", at positions 457 to 997 of the family's 1478-position model. The record is from RNAcentral.
GUCAGCAGCCGCGGUAAUACCGGCGGCUCGAGUGGUGGCCACUUUAUGGGCUUAAAGCGUCGUAGCUGGGUAUUAAGCCCUUGGGAAAUCCGACAGCUUAACUGUCGGGCGUCUAAGAGAUACUGGGUAAUCUUGGAACCGGGAGAGGUGAGGGGGUACUUCGGGGGUAGGAGUGAAAUCCUGUAAUCCUCGAGGGACCACCUGUGGCGAAGGCGCCUCACCAGAACGGCUUCGACAGUGAGGGACGAAAGCUGGGGGAGCAAACCGGAUUAGAUACCCGGGUAGUCCCAGCCGUAAACGAUGUGCGUUAGGUGUAUCGGUGACCACGAGUCACCGAGGUGCCGAAGGGAAACCGUGAAACGUACCGCCUGGGAAGUACGGUCGCAAGGCUGAAACUUAAGGAAUUGGCGGGGGAGCACCACAACAGGUGGAGCCUGCGGUUUAAUUGGACUCAACGCCGGAAAUCUCACCGGAUAAGACAGCAGAAUGAUUGCCGGGCUGAAGACUCUGCGUGACUAGCUGAGGAGUGGUGCAUGG